UAGAUUAAAGUCCGCCGGUUUGGACAGUUAAUUGUUAAUUAGUUUUUGUGGGAUCGAGGCCCACUAGUCUAG
RNAcentral lists this transfer RNA (72 nucleotides) under Leptodeira polysticta. RNAcentral's name for it is "tRNA-Asn". It matches the Rfam family "tRNA". Rfam says of the family: Transfer RNA (tRNA) molecules are approximately 80 nucleotides in length. Their secondary structure includes four short double-helical elements and three loops (D, anti-codon, and T loops). The record is from RNAcentral. Lineage: Eukaryota; Metazoa; Chordata; Lepidosauria; Squamata; Dipsadidae.